GUUUGAUCCUGGCUCAGGAUGAACGCUAGCGGCAGGCCUAAUACAUCGCAAGCGAACGGUGUCUUCGGACAUAGUGGCGCACGGGUGCGUAACACGUAUGCAACCUACCUUACAUUGGGGGAUAGCCUUUCGAAAGGGAGAUUAAUACCGCAUAAGACAGUAACUAGGCAUCUAGUAGCUGUUAAAGAUUUAUCGAUGUAAGCUGGGCAUGCGUCCAAUUAGCUAGUUGGUGAGGUAAUGGCUCACCAAGGCAAUGAUUGGUAGGGGAACUGAGAGGUCAAUCCCCCACACUGGCACUGAGAUACGGGCCAGACUCCUACGGGAGGCAGCAGUAGGGAAUAUUGGGCAAUGGACGCAAGUCUGACCCAGCCAUGCCGCGUGCAGGAUGAAGGCGUUAUGCGUUGUAAACUGCUUUUAUACAGGAAGAAACGACUCUUGCGAGAGGCAUUGACGGUACUGUAUGAAUAAGCACCGGCUAACUCCGUGCCAGCAGCCGCGGUAAUACGGAGGGUGCAAGCGUUGUCCGGAUUUAUUGGGUUUAAAGGGUGCGCAGGUGGUUUAUUAAGUCAGUGGUGAAAGACGGUCGCUCAACGAUUGCAGUGCCAUUGAAACUGGUAGACUUGAGUAAAGUAGAGGUGGGCGGAAUUGAUAGUGUAGCGGUGAAAUGCAUAGAUAUUAUCAAGAACUCCAAUUGCGUAGGCAGCUCACUUGGCUUUUACUGACACUCAUGCACGAAAGUGCGGGUAUCAAACAGGAUUAGAUACCCUGGUAGUCCACACUGUAAACGAUGAUAACUAGGUGUCGGCCGAAUCUGGUCGGUGCACAGCGAAAGCGUUAAGUUAUCCACCUGGGGAGUACGCCGGCAACGGUGAAACUCAAAGGAAUUGACGGGGUCCGCACAAGCGGUGGAGCAUGUGGUUUA
Molecule: ribosomal RNA, 922 nt
Filed under: uncultured bacterium
Lineage: Bacteria
Description: bacterial SSU rRNA
Rfam family: Bacterial small subunit ribosomal RNA
Source: RNAcentral